RNAcentral lists this ribosomal RNA (459 nucleotides) under Benibotarus taygetanus. RNAcentral's name for it is "partial 16S ribosomal RNA". The record is from RNAcentral. Lineage: Eukaryota; Metazoa; Arthropoda; Insecta; Coleoptera; Lycidae.
CAUGGUUUUUUGAUUAUAAUUUAAAAUUUGAUCUGCUCAAUGAUAAUUUAAAUUGCCGCAGUAUAUUAACUGUGCAAAGGUAGCAUAAUAAUUAGUUUCUUGAUUAGAAGCUGGAAUGAAUGAUUGGACGAUAAAAUAACUGUCUCUAAAUAAUUUUUUAAUGAAUUUUAUUUUUAAGUUAAAAAGCUUAAAUUUUUUUAAAAGACGAGAAGACCCUAUAGAGUUUAAUAUAAAUAUUAUUUAUAAUUUUAGUAAAAUUUUUUUAAUGUUUUUAUUUAGUUGGGGUGACUUGAAAAUUUAAAUAAUUUUUUAAUAUUAUAAUUUUUAAUUAGAAAAUUACUUAUCUAUUUUUUUAAAAAUAAAAUAAAUUACCUUAGGGAUAACAGCGUAAUUUUUCUUUAAAGUUCAUAUUAAAAGAAAAGUUUGCGACCUCGAUGUUGGAUUAAAAUUAAUCUUUGG